UCUCUCUCUCUCUCUCUUCACUAUUAAAUCAAAGAAGAAAACAAUAGUUUGUUUUCUUCAAGCUUGAAAUUUGAAUCACCGACAUAUAGCAACUCCCCAAAUCACCACAAUUGUUGCUCUUUAUCUCUUUCUCUGUAAACAUCACCGCCAUAAAAGUUCUGGUAAACUCAAUCUAGGGUUCAAACGGCUGACGGAGGCUGACCAAACAAGGGUUCUAACUACUAAUUUAUCUCCACACGUAUGUUCUUCAGAUUCAUUCAUGUAUAUCAUGGGGACUCACGACCUGAUUUAUUUCUACACGUUUGGUUUGCACCAAAUUAGUGUUACCAUUGUGGGAAUGUGGCUUCAAUAUUGAGCUUCAACGAGAAAAUGGGCGAAUUACAUAAGGAUAGCAGGUAGAAGAGCAACAAAUUGCGCCGCCAUCCCCUUAUAGUCAACUUCUAAAUGAUGGUGUUUUUGUUUGGGAUUGAGGAAUGAUCGACUUCAAUGAGGUGCAUUUGUGUAGAAGUUUGUAAAUUUGGACAUGUGUGUAUGAAAAUUGCAACAGGAGCCCAAGCUGAGAGUUUAUUUGCUUAUUUAGCAGCCAUGACGACAAGAUCAAAACUAGCACGAAAAGAUUUGGAUACGGCUGCACAAUCUGGUCACCCUGGUGUGUCCGCUAAUGAAGUUGAUGUGUGGCCCAUGAAGCAACCAAUGCUACUGACUAUAAGAAGAGGAUGAAGACAUGGCCAUUAAACCUGAAGAUGUAUCAUGUGCACAUACAAUCUGUAAGAAGAAAGACACAAUGAGCUGAAUAAAUGAACAACGUUGUCACUGAAUUCUACUUCCAUUAGCGGAUUUGGUAACGACCACCAAGCAGGCAAACUUAGCUAGCAAACCAUUCACUAAAAAAACCCUUAAGGCCACUUUUGAGGUACUUCGCCAUAGUAUUUACAAUGUUCAUUCAAGUUGAACUUGAUUCUGAUGAAGAUCCAGGUGAGUAUCUUGCAUAUGGUAUAUGAGUAACUAUUGAAUAGGUGGUUUGAUAAACUAAAUCUUGUAAGCUACUUUUGUACAAAGGUGUCAACUUGCUGGUAAAAAUGAAUUGACUUUUAAUUUUAUUGUC
Molecule: long non-coding RNA, 1105 nt
Filed under: Helianthus annuus (common sunflower)
Lineage: Eukaryota; Viridiplantae; Streptophyta; Magnoliopsida; Asterales; Asteraceae
Source: RNAcentral